Molecule: ribosomal RNA, 253 nt
Filed under: uncultured bacterium
Lineage: Bacteria
Description: partial 16S ribosomal RNA
Rfam family: Bacterial small subunit ribosomal RNA
Source: RNAcentral
UACAGGGGGGGCAAGCGUUGUUCGGAAUUACUGGGCGUAAAGGGCUUGUAGGUGGCCAACUAAGUCACACGUGAAAUCCCCAGGCUUAACCUGGGAACUGCGUGUGAUACUGGAUGGCUUGAAUCCGGGAGAGGGAUGCGGAAUUCCAGGUGUAGCGGUGAAAUGCGUAGAUAUCUGGAGGAACACCGGUGGCGAAGGCGGCAUCCUGGACCGGUAUUGACACUGAAAAGCGAAAGCCAGGGGAGCAAACAGG